This 27-nucleotide non-coding RNA is filed under the name Rattus norvegicus (Norway rat). Lineage: Eukaryota; Metazoa; Chordata; Mammalia; Rodentia; Muridae. The record is from RNAcentral.
UCUGUUCUAAACUUUGCCUCCCUAUUC